RNAcentral lists this ribosomal RNA (269 nucleotides) under uncultured prokaryote. Its description in RNAcentral is "partial 16S ribosomal RNA". It matches the Rfam family "Bacterial small subunit ribosomal RNA", at positions 524 to 792 of the family's 1533-position model. The record is from RNAcentral.
GACGAAGGUGGCAAGCGUUGUUCGGAAUUACUGGGCUUAAAGGGUGUGUAGGCGGAAAAGUAAGCGUCUUGUGAAAUCCCCCGGCUUAACCGGGGAAUUGCAGGGCGAACUGCUUUUCUUGAGGCAAGUAGGGGUGCAUGGAACUCUUGGUGGAGCGGUGGAAUGCGUAGAUAUCAAGAGGAACGCCAAAGGAGAAGUCAGUGCACUGGGCUUGAUCUGACGCUGAGACACGAAAGCGUGGGGAGCGAACAGGAUUAGAUACCCCAGUA